UAGGGAACGGACGGGGGGGAGAAAAAAGAGCGGGAGACGAGCAAAGAUGGCCGUGUGUGUGAAGUCACAACCAAGUGGAGUCAAGUGUGUCCUGCCUUCUGCUACUUUAGCAAGGAAGACAACUAAAGUAUCUUCUUAACAACUCAACUGUAACCCACAGCCGUCCAAGUUGAGAAACCGGAAGCAAGGUUGGUUGCAUGAACAAAGACACUCCCUCUGGUGACCGGGCAAAGCAGGAAGUGAUCAGUGGGCGUGGCACGCUAACAGCCAAUCAGAUAUGUCUGCAGUGUCCGGGCUGCAUCUCCGUCAAGCAGCAGCAUCGUUGUCACGGAUCAGCAUGGGAUCCUUGGCAUGAAGUUUGACAGCCCAGUGGAGGAGGAGGAAGGGGCUCCGUCUUUUCAAAUGAUAAUAGGAAGCAGAGAUUACAGCGAGGACCACGCUCAGCCUCCACCUAAGACAUGAUGACCACGACACGGAGCUACAACAUGAAAGCCGUGUAUAAAAACACAACAAAACAGCAUAUUCAGGCUUCACGGCUUUCUCAAGCGACGCCAUCAAAGCACUUGCUGCUGCUGAACAUUUUCACAAGGAAGGUCAGUGACUAAAACAAACUAACAAAAAAGGACUCAUUAAGGGUGAACAUUGAUUAUUCAUCAUAAUUAAUGUGUUUAAUCGUCGGAAAAAAUGGGUUUAAUUGGUUCGAAUAAUGUUUUCACUGUCAAUAUUGGGAGUGACGACUAUUCCAGUGGUUUUAGCCUUUUUAGAGUUUUCCACUACAGAGGGUGCCGGGGCUCGCUCAAAUAUCAGCAC
Nerophis ophidion (straightnose pipefish) is the source of this 810-nucleotide long non-coding RNA. RefSeq lists it as uncharacterized. NCBI's taxonomy places the organism in Eukaryota, Metazoa, Chordata, Actinopteri, Syngnathiformes, Syngnathidae. The record is from RefSeq and is a predicted model, not a curated record. The transcript is spliced from 4 exons.